Molecule: long non-coding RNA, 601 nt
Filed under: Pandoravirus dulcis
Description: putative ncRNA
Source: RNAcentral
GCGCGCGCCACGCACGCAUCGCACACGUUGCGGGCGCGCGCGUCGCCCGGCAGGCCGUCGUCACAGAUCCACUGACGCACGCGCCGGCGUUCCGAAUGGCCGCAGGCGUCGCACCAGGCCAGCAGCGGGUCGACCCACAGCGCAUCCCACGACGACGACUUGCGCUCCCAGCGGUCGAUGGCGCCGUCCAUGGCCGCACGCGCGGCGCUCCAUACCGCGGCGAUGCGACGCAUGGCCAGGGCGCGCAACGCGCUACACACGGCGCCCAACACGGCGGUCGCGCGUCGAUCACACAUGGCCAUGAUGUGGUCCCAGAUCUCGGGCGGCAACACGGGCGCCGCAUCCAUCGACGGUGGGCGUGCGUCGUCAACGGGACGCGGCGCGCGUGGAGGGUCUGCCCUCUGAUGCAAAAUCAAGAGAGAGAGAGAGAGAGCCCGACGAGCGGGCACGAAAAGAGACUGCCCGGAGCAAAAGACGACCAGCGAGGGCACAAAGAGGGCGCAAAAAAACGCAAAUUAAAAUAAAAAACAAAAAAAGAAGAAAAAGGGGGGCAAAACCACGCCACAAAGAGGCGCCUGCCGUCACCAGCCCUUUUUCCCCC